UACGUAGGGUGCAAGCGUUAAUCGGAAUUACUGGGCGUAAAGCGUGCGCAGGCGGUUUUGUAAGACAGGCGUGAAAUCCCCGGGCUCAACCUGGGAAUGGCGCUUGUGACUGCGAGACUUGAGUGCGGCAGAGGGGGGUGGAAUUCCACGUGUAGCAGUGAAAUGCGUAGAGAUGUGGAGGAACACCGAUGGCGAAGGCAGCCCCCUGGGUCGACACUGACGCUCAUGCACGAAAGCGUGGGGAGCAAACAGGAUUAGAAACCCCGGUAGUCCCUGAACUG
This 281-nucleotide ribosomal RNA is filed under the name uncultured bacterium. RNAcentral describes it as "partial 16S ribosomal RNA". It matches the Rfam family "Bacterial small subunit ribosomal RNA", at positions 524 to 804 of the family's 1533-position model. The record is from RNAcentral.